GUUUGAUCAUGGCUCAGGAUGAACGCUGGCGGCGUGCUUAACACAUGCAAGUCGAACGAACCUUCGGGUUAGUGGCGGACGGGUGAGUAACGCGUGAGAAUCUGCCCUCAGGAGGGGGAUAACGGUUGGAAACGACCGCUAAUACCCCAUAUGCCUAUUGGUGAAAUGAAUUUCGCCUGAGGAUGAGCUCGCGUCUGAUUAGCUAGUUGGUGAGGUAAUGGCUCACCAAGGCUUCGAUCAGUAGCUGGUCUGAGAGGAUGAUCAGCCACACUGGGACUGAGACACGGCCCAGACUCCUACGGGAGGCAGCAGUGGGGAAUUUUCCGCAAUGGGCGAAAGCCUGACGGAGCAACGCCGCGUGAGGGACGAAGGCCUCUGGGCUGUAAACCUCUUUUCUCAAGGAAGAAGAUAUGACGGUACUUGAGGAAUAAGCCACGGCUAAUUCCGUGCCAGCAGCCGCGGUAAUACGGGAGUGGCAAGCGUUAUCCGGAAUUAUUGGGCGUAAAGCGUCCGCAGGCGGCUUUUCAAGUCUGCUGUUAAAGCGUGGAGCUUAACUCCAUCAUGGCAGUGGAAACUGAAAGGCUUGAGUAUGGUAGGGGCAGAGGGAAUUCCCGGUGUAGCGGUGAAAUGCGUAGAUAUCGGGAAGAACACCAGUGGCGAAGGCGCUCUGCUGGGCCAUUACUGACGCUCAUGGACGAAAGCCAGGGGAGCGAAAGGGAUUAGAUACCCCUGUAGUCCUGGCCGUAAACGAUGAACACUAGGUGUCGGGGGAAUCGACCCCUUCGGUGUCGUAGCUAACGCGUUAAGUGUUCCGCCUGGGGAGUACGCACGCAAGUGUGAAACUCAAAGGAAUUGACAGGGGCCCGCACAAGCGGUGGAGUAUGUGGUUUAAUUCGAUGCAACGCGAAGAACCUUACCAGGGUUUGACAUCCUGCGAACCUCUUAGAAAUUUGAGGGUGCCUUCGGGAAUGCAGUGACAGGUGGUGCAUGGCUGUCGUCAGCUCGUGUCGUGAGAUGUUGGGUUAAGUCCCGCAACGAGCGCAACCCACGUUUUUAGUUGCCAGCAUUUAGUUGGGCACUCUAGAAAGACCGCCGGUGAUAAACCGGAGGAAGGUGUGGAUGACGUCAAGUCAUCAUGCCCCUUACACCCUGGGCUACACACGUACUACAAUGCUACGGACAAAGGGCAGCAAACUCGCGAGAGCUAGCAAAUCCCAUAAACCGUGGCUCAGUUCAGAUCGUAGGCUGCAACUCGCCUACGUGAAGUAGGAAUCGCUAGUAAUCGCAGGUCAGCAUACUGCGGUGAAUACGUUCCCGGGCCUUGUACACACCGCCCGUCACACCAUGGAAGUUGGCCAUGCCCGAAGUCGUUACUCCAACCCUUGUGGAGGAGGACGCCGAAGGUGGGGCUAAUGACUGGGGUGAAGUCGUAACAAGGUAACCGUA
RNAcentral lists this ribosomal RNA (1446 nucleotides) under uncultured bacterium. RNAcentral's name for it is "16S ribosomal RNA". It matches the Rfam family "Bacterial small subunit ribosomal RNA". The record is from RNAcentral.